RNAcentral lists this ribosomal RNA (1416 nucleotides) under uncultured bacterium. Its description in RNAcentral is "bacterial SSU rRNA". The stretch from base 691 to 1416 matches the Rfam family "Bacterial small subunit ribosomal RNA", at positions 1 to 749 of the family's 1533-position model. The record is from RNAcentral.
GGACGAACGCUGGCGGUAUGCUUAACACAUGCAAGUCGAACGAGAAGGAAGAGCUUGCUCUUCCUGAAAGUGGCGAACGGGUGAGUAACGCGUGGGUAACUUACCCUUUGGAAAGGAAUAGCCUCGGGAAACUGGGAGUAAUGCCUUAUAAGAUACGUUUGUCGCAUGGCAUUUGUAUUAAACGCUCCGGCGCCAUAGGAUGGACCCGCGUCCCAUUAGCUAGUUGGUGAGAUAACAGCUCACCAAGGCCACGAUGGGUAACCGGUCUGAGAGGGCGAACGGUCACACUGGAACUGAGACACGGUCCAGACUCCUACGGGAGGCAGCAGUGGGGAAUAUUGCGCAAUGGGGGCAACCCUGACGCAGCAAUACCGCGUGAGUGAAGAAGGUUUUCGGAUCGUAAAGCUCUGUUAUUGGGGAAGAAAAAAAGACGGUACCCAAGAAGAAAGUUCCGGCUAACUACGUGCCAGCAGCCGCGGUAAUACGUAGGGAACAAGCGUUGUCCGGAUUUACUGGGCGUAAAGGGCACGCAGGCGGUUUUUUAAGUCAGAUGUGAAAGGCCACAGCUCAACUGUGGACAUGCAUUUGAAACUGAAAGACUUGAGUAUUGGAGAGGCAAGUGGAAUUCCUAGUGUAGCGGUGAAAUGCGUAGAUAUUAGGAGGAACACCGGUGGCGAAGGCGGCUUGCUGGACAAAUACUGACGCUGAGGACGAACGCUGGCGGUAUGCUUAACACAUGCAAGUCGAACGAGAAGGAAGAGCUUGCUCUUCCUGAAAGUGGCGAACGGGUGAGUAACGCGUGGGUAACUUACCCUUUGGAAAGGAAUAGCCUCGGGAAACUGGGAGUAAUGCCUUAUAAGAUACGUUUGUCGCAUGGCAUUUGUAUUAAACGCUCCGGCGCCAUAGGAUGGACCCGCGUCCCAUUAGCUAGUUGGUGAGAUAACAGCUCACCAAGGCCACGAUGGGUAACCGGUCUGAGAGGGCGAACGGUCACACUGGAACUGAGACACGGUCCAGACUCCUACGGGAGGCAGCAGUGGGGAAUAUUGCGCAAUGGGGGCAACCCUGACGCAGCAAUACCGCGUGAGUGAAGAAGGUUUUCGGAUCGUAAAGCUCUGUUAUUGGGGAAGAAAAAAAGACGGUACCCAAGAAGAAAGUUCCGGCUAACUACGUGCCAGCAGCCGCGGUAAUACGUAGGGAACAAGCGUUGUCCGGAUUUACUGGGCGUAAAGGGCACGCAGGCGGUUUUUUAAGUCAGAUGUGAAAGGCCACAGCUCAACUGUGGACAUGCAUUUGAAACUGAAAGACUUGAGUAUUGGAGAGGCAAGUGGAAUUCCUAGUGUAGCGGUGAAAUGCGUAGAUAUUAGGAGGAACACCGGUGGCGAAGGCGGCUUGCUGGACAAAUACUGACGCUGA